This 22-nucleotide microRNA is filed under the name Capitella teleta. RNAcentral describes it as "cte-miR-2703-3p". The record is from miRBase by way of RNAcentral. Lineage: Eukaryota; Metazoa; Annelida; Polychaeta; Capitellidae.
UGCUUUGAUUUGUAAGCUCAGC